Molecule: ribosomal RNA, 495 nt
Filed under: uncultured bacterium
Lineage: Bacteria
Description: partial 16S ribosomal RNA
Rfam family: Bacterial small subunit ribosomal RNA
Source: RNAcentral
GACGAACGCUGGCGGCGUGCCUAAUACAUGCAAGUAGAACGCUGAAGGAGGAGCUUGCUCUUCUGGAUGAGUUGCGAACGGGUGAGUAACGCGUAGGUAACCUGCCUGGUAGCGGGGGAUAACUAUUGGAAACGAUAGCUAAUACCGCAUAACAGUAGAUGUUGCACGACAUUUGCUUAAAAGGUGCAAUUGCAUCACUACCAGAUGGACCUGCGUUGUAUUAGCUAGUUGGUGGGGUAACGGCUCACCAAGGCGACGAUACAUAGCCGACCUGAGAGGGUGAUCGGCCACGCUGGGACUGAGACACGGCCCAGACUCCUACGGGAGGCAGCAGUAGGGAAUCUUCGGCAAUGGACGGAAGUCUGACCGAGCAACGCCGCGUGAGUGAAGAAGGUUUUCGGAUCGUAAAGCUCUGUUGUAAGAGAAGAACGAGUGUGAGAGUGGAAAGUUCACACUGUGACGGUAUCUUACCAGAAAGGGACGGCUAACUACGUG